CGGGUGAGUAACACGUAUCCAACCUGCCGUCUACUCUUGGACAGCCUUCUGAAAGGAAGAUUAAUACAAGAUGGCAUCAUGAGUCCACAUGUUCACAUGAUUAAAGGUAUUCCGGUAGACGAUGGGGAUGCGUUCCAUUAGAUAGUAGGCGGGGUAACGGCCCACCUAGUCUUCGAUGGAUAGGGGUUCUGAGAGGAAGGUCCCCCACAUUGGAACUGAGACACGGUCCAG
Molecule: ribosomal RNA, 231 nt
Filed under: uncultured bacterium
Lineage: Bacteria
Description: partial 16S ribosomal RNA
Rfam family: Bacterial small subunit ribosomal RNA
Source: RNAcentral